Molecule: small nucleolar RNA, 107 nt
Filed under: Leersia perrieri
Lineage: Eukaryota; Viridiplantae; Streptophyta; Magnoliopsida; Poales; Poaceae
Description: Plant small nucleolar RNA R71
Rfam family: Plant small nucleolar RNA R71
About the family: R71 is a member of the C/D box family of snoRNAs containing the C (UGAUGA) and D (CUGA) box motifs. Multiple nearly identical copies of this snoRNA have been identified in Arabidopsis, and it is thought to function as a 2'-O-ribose methylation guide for 18S ribosomal RNA.
Source: Rfam by way of RNAcentral
AUCCCAUGAUGAGGACAGACGGCAAUGUACUCCUACGAACGCUCCCAAGGUUCUGGUAUGGAUUCAUCCUUCGCCUGUUAGAAGUUGGAAAUCCUUCCGCGAAGGGC